CGAAUGCUGAUUGGGCUUGCUGUCGUCGACAGCAGACCACCCCAGGGAACCUGAGUCUCAUGGUUCCGGCGCGCAAGCGUUGACUCACCCAAGGUCGCCAAGCACUCGGCAGCGCGACCGCAUCGCCUCAGGCGAUGGAGUGC
Non-coding RNA from Pseudomonadales bacterium, 143 nucleotides. The record is from Rfam. NCBI's taxonomy places the organism in Bacteria, Pseudomonadati, Pseudomonadota, Gammaproteobacteria, Pseudomonadales.